GCCCUGUGGUUACUGGAUGCCAUUGUAUAGGUAAAGCUCUCCAGUGGAAGUAAAGGGGCGAGAGCAGUCCUGUGAUUUAUGCUUGGGGACUGUUUCAGCAGCCACUAUAGCCCAGUCACUGAGACAUGA
This is a small nucleolar RNA of Erinaceus europaeus (western European hedgehog), 129 nucleotides long. The record is from Ensembl. Lineage: Eukaryota; Metazoa; Chordata; Mammalia; Eulipotyphla; Erinaceidae.